Molecule: ribosomal RNA, 1609 nt
Filed under: Salmonella enterica
Lineage: Bacteria; Pseudomonadati; Pseudomonadota; Gammaproteobacteria; Enterobacterales; Enterobacteriaceae
Description: partial 23S ribosomal RNA
Rfam family: Bacterial large subunit ribosomal RNA
Source: RNAcentral
UAAGCCUGUGAAGGUGUGUCGUGAGGCAUGCUGGAGGUAUCAGAAGUGCGAAUGCUGACAUAAGUAACGAUAAAGCGGGUGAAAAGCCCGCUCGCCGGAAGACCAAGGGUUCCUGUCCAACGUUAAUCGGGGCAGGGUGAGUCGACCCCUAAGGCGAGGCCGAAAGGCGUAGUCGAUGGGAAACGGGUUAAUAUUCCCGUACUUGGUGUUACUGCGAAGGGGGGACGGAGAAGGCUAUGUUGGCCGGGCGACGGUUGUCCCGGUUUAAGCGUGUAGGUGUGUGUUCCAGGUAAAUCCGGUUCACUUUAACACUGAGGCGUGACGACGAGGCACUACGGUGCUGAAGCAACAAAUGCCCUGCUUCCAGGAAAAGCCUCUAAGCAUCAGGUAACAUCAAAUCGUACCCCAAACCGACACAGGUGGUCAGGUAGAGAAUACCAAGGCGCUUGAGAGAACUCGGGUGAAGGAACUAGGCAAAAUGGUGCCGUAACUUCGGGAGAAGGCACGCUGACACGUAGGUGAAGUGAUUUACUCAUGGAGCUGAAGUCAGUCGAAGAUACCAGCUGGCUGCAACUGUUUAUUAAAAACACAGCACUGUGCAAACACGAAAGUGGACGUAUACGGUGUGACGCCUGCCCGGUGCCGGAAGGUUAAUUGAUGGGGUCAGCGCAAGCGAAGCUCCUGAUCGAAGCCCCGGUAAACGGCGGCCGUAACUAUAACGGUCCUAAGGUAGCGAAAUUCCUUGUCGGGUAAGUUCCGACCUGCACGAAUGGCGUAAUGAUGGCCAGGCUGUCUCCACCCGAGACUCAGUGAAAUUGAACUCGCUGUGAAGAUGCAGUGUACCCGCGGCAAGACGGAAAGACCCCGUGAACCUUUACUAUAGCUUGACACUGAACAUUGAGCCUUGAUGUGUAGGAUAGGUGGGAGGCUUUGAAGUGUGGACGCCAGUCUGCAUGGAGCCGACCUUGAAAUACCACCCUUUAAUGUUUGAUGUUCUAACGUGGACCCGUGAUCCGGGUUGCGGACAGUGUCUGGUGGGUAGUUUGACUGGGGCGGUCUCCUCCUAAAGAGUAACGGAGGAGCACGAAGGUUGGCUAAUCCUGGUCGGACAUCAGGAGGUUAGUGCAAUGGCAUAAGCCAGCUUGACUGCGAGCGUGACGGCGCGAGCAGGUGCGAAAGCAGGUCAUAGUGAUCCGGUGGUUCUGAAUGGAAGGGCCAUCGCUCAACGGAUAAAAGGUACUCCGGGGAUAACAGGCUGAUACCGCCCAAGAGUUCAUAUCGACGGCGGUGUUUGGCACCUCGAUGUCGGCUCAUCACAUCCUGGGGCUGAAGUAGGUCCCAAGGGUAUGGCUGUUCGCCAUUUAAAGUGGUACGCGAGCUGGGUUUAGAACGUCGUGAGACAGUUCGGUCCCUAUCUGCCGUGGGCGCUGGAGAACUGAGGGGGGCUGCUCCUAGUACGAGAGGACCGGAGUGGACGCAUCACUGGUGUUCGGGUUGUCAUGCCAAUGGCACUGCCCGGUAGCUAAAUGCGGAAGAGAUAAGUGCUGAAAGCAUCUAAGCACGAAACUUGCCCCGAGAUGAGUUCUCCCUGAGACUUAAAGUCUCCUGA